ACAAGGUUCCGUAGGUGAACCUGCGGAAGGAUC
Molecule: ribosomal RNA, 33 nt
Filed under: Parmelia pinnatifida
Lineage: Eukaryota; Fungi; Ascomycota; Lecanoromycetes; Lecanorales; Parmeliaceae
Description: partial 18S ribosomal RNA
Source: RNAcentral